AAUAAGUACAGAUUUAGCACUGUUCAUGCCCAACGUUUGACCGCUCGUUUUAUUUGAAAUUUUUUUUAUGAUUACUACUUUUAUUAUUAUUAGAUGAUAAAACAUGAAUAGUACUUUAUGUGUGACUAUUUUUUUAAUAUUUUUUAUAAAUUUUUCAAAUAAGAUGAAUGGUCAAAACGAUAAGCACGGAUAUCUAUGGCUGUACUUAUU
This is a non-coding RNA of Oryza glaberrima (African rice), 210 nucleotides long. Lineage: Eukaryota; Viridiplantae; Streptophyta; Magnoliopsida; Poales; Poaceae. The record is from Rfam.